RNAcentral lists this ribosomal RNA (519 nucleotides) under uncultured bacterium. RNAcentral's name for it is "partial 16S ribosomal RNA". It matches the Rfam family "Bacterial small subunit ribosomal RNA", at positions 355 to 867 of the family's 1533-position model. The record is from RNAcentral.
UGGGGAAUUUUGGACAAUGGGGCAACCCUGAUCCAGCAAUGCCGCGUGAGUGAAGAAGGCCUUCGGGUUGUAAAGCUCUUUUGUCCGGGAAGAAAUCCCAUCCCUGAAUACGGGGUGGGGAUGACGGUACUGGAAGAAUAAGCACCGGCUAACUACGUGCCAGCAGCCGCGGUAAUACGUAGGGUGCAAGCGUUAAUCGGAAUUACUGGGCGUAAAGCGUGCGCAGGCGGUUGUGCAAGACCGAUGUGAAGUCCCCGGGCUUAACCUGGGAACUGCAUUGGUGACUGCACGGCUAGAGUGUGUCAGAGGGGGGUUAGAAUUCCACGUGUAGCAGUGAAAUGCGUAGAGAUGUGGAGGAAUACCGAUGGCGAAGGCAGCCCCCUGGGAUAACACUGACGCUCAUGCACGAAAGCGUGGGGAGCAAACAGGAUUAGAUACCCUGGUAGUCCACGCCCUAAACGGUGUCAACUAGUUGUCGGGGAUUAAUUUCCUUGGUAACGCAGCUAACGCGUGAAGUUG